Lemur catta (Ring-tailed lemur) is the source of this 1753-nucleotide long non-coding RNA. RefSeq lists it as uncharacterized. The transcript has 3 exons. NCBI's taxonomy places the organism in Eukaryota, Metazoa, Chordata, Mammalia, Primates, Lemuridae. The record is from RefSeq and is a predicted model, not a curated record.
UCAUUUAAAAGCUGGUUUUGAGGAUUUUGGUAUCUGGGAGAAAGCUUUUUAGUCAUUUAAGCAUCCCCUUUAAAAAAAAAUCACCUAACUCGCCCAUAAUUCAGGUCCUGAAUGGCUUCAAAAGAGAGUAUGCUUUUUAUCAUUUCCCGUCCAGCACAUCAAGGCUCAGCUCGAAUGCUCUCUCCUCAGGCCUGUCCUCUCCCAUGUCUUUUCCUUAACCCUUAUUACAUUCUUUGUUUAUCUAAGUCUUAAGACUCCAUUUAGUGAGAACAGGGUCUGCAUCUUAAUCAGCUUCAUCCUCAUGACAGUGCUCAGCCGAUGCCGUGAGCAUAGAAGAACAUCUGCGGCUCUCCGUGGGAUUGUCUGUCCUCAAUAUGCCUGCCAGCAGCCUCAGAAAUCAGAGAACUAGAAACUUUACAACUAUUAUGCAACCCUAGAAGUGUUUUACAAGAAUGGUUUUCAACAUUGUCAUUAAUGUUUCAAAUUUAUAAUUAGCUGUUAGAAAUCUGCCAAUUCAGAGUCCUAUGAUCAAAGAACUAAAUUAUCUCCAAUUUCACUUUGAAACUAAAGUACAAGAUGACGCCCAUUACAGCCUGGUGUUUUGCAUUUUGCUUCUUUUCCAUCUGGCCCCUGCCCACACUAUAUGCUGUAGCUCCUGAGUCAUCUUUUUAUCUGUACAGUACAGAAUCUGCUUUUCCUAAAAAUGAUGUCACAUGGACAGUUCUCAGGCCAUUUUUAAAUUGUUUUAUGUGGACUGAUUUUGCAUUAGAGAGAGGAGGAUUCCCUGGGAUGUGCAGUCCCAUGAAGGCUGGAGAGCCUGCCUCUGGCUCCACCUUACUAGCUCUUCUCUACCAAUGACCUUUGUAACAGGGUUGGUAUCUCCUCACUCAGUUUUAGUAGUGGUAACUGCACCAUGGUGUUGAAGAGAUAAUGCAGCCCAAAACUUUUCAUUGAAGAAAUACUGGUCUAGGAGAGGUAGCCCAAGCUUUGAUUUUUUUGGUAUUCUUUGGAGAAGACACAGUCACAUUCAGUGGAGUUUGAAAGUCUUUGAACAGUAGAUAAGCCAGGUUCAAAACCUACCAGCCUUUUCCCUUCAAGGCUUCAUUUUCCACAGCCUUAAAAUUAGGGACCGAUGUUAUAUUAUUUAUAGGGUACUUCCUAAACAUUUUGUUUUUCUUCCUAUUAACAGAAAUGCAAAUGUGCUCACAAGAGUUUUACCCAAAUGUUCCUAGUUUCCAUUAUGGUUAACAUACAAAGGAGAAGUGGUGAGGCAGUUUCUGUAAGGCUCCUCUCUCCCCAUCCAGUGGAGCCUGAAGCCCAUAGGGCAGGUAGCCAGAAAAGAUGCAGAGUGGGAAGAACAAGCUGGAACCCUGGAACCCACAGGCAUAGGUUGGAGCCCAUGAGGACAUACUGCAGUCUGUCAGUUCUUGUUGCCUCUGACCUUGAUGGUGUGGGCAUCCUGCAGAAACUGAGACCUUUAUCAGAGAAGCUGAAGGAAGAUCCAGGGGAAGCUGAAGCAGUUUCAGGCCCAGGCCCAGAUGCUGAUUCGUGCCAACAAGAUGAGCCAGUAGGUACUCACCCCCUAUUUCGGCUCUCCUAACUGCACAGAGUCCUUCUCAGGAAGUUAGAGUGGAAGCAGGGAGCAGUAAAACUGAGGAGAGGAACCAGCUCUGGGCCUGUCUGUUGGCUGCUGCUGCUGACGGCAGCCUGAUUAUUCUCUGGCUCAGAGGAGCUAUGGCUAGUCCCUUCUUCA